GAACGGGUGAGUAACACGUGGGCAAUCUGCCCUUCACUCUGGGACAAGCCCUGGAAACGGGGUCUAAUACCGGAUACCACUCCUGCCUGCAUGGGCGGGGGUUGAAAGCUCCGGCGGUGAAGGAUGAGCCCGCGGCCUAUCAGCUUGUUGGUGGGGUAAUGGCCCACCAAGGCGACGACGGGUAGCCGGCCUGAGAGGGCGACCGGCCACACUGGGACUGAGACACGGCCCAGACUCCUACGGGAGGCAGCAGUGGGGAAUAUUGCACAAUGGGCGAAAGCCUGAUGCAGCGACGCCGCGUGAGGGAUGACGGCCUUCGGGUUGUAAACCUCUUUCAGCAGGGAAGAAGCGAAAGUGACGGUACCUGCAGAAGAAGCGCCGGCUAACUACGUGCCAGCAGCCGCGGUAAUACGUAGGGCGCAAGCGUUGUCCGGAAUUAUUGGGCGUAAAGAGCUCGUAGGCGGCUUGUCACGUCGGAUGUGAAAGCCCGAGGCUUAACCUCGGGUCUGCAUUCGAUACGGGCUAGCUAGAGUGUGGUAGGGGAGAUCGGAAUUCCUGGUGUAGCGGUGAAAUGCNCAGAUAUCAAGANGAACACCGGUGGCGAAGGCCGAUCUCUGGGCCAUUACUGACNCUGANGAACCAAA
This 644-nucleotide ribosomal RNA is filed under the name Streptomyces sp. 5111_1. RNAcentral describes it as "bacterial SSU rRNA". It matches the Rfam family "Bacterial small subunit ribosomal RNA", at positions 100 to 758 of the family's 1533-position model. Lineage: Bacteria; Bacillati; Actinomycetota; Actinomycetes; Kitasatosporales; Streptomycetaceae. The record is from RNAcentral.